GGUUAAGCGACUAAGCGUACACGGUGGAUGCCCUGGCAGUCAGAGGCGAUGAAGGACGUGCUAAUCUGCGAUAAGCGUCGGUAAGGUGAUAUGAACCGUUAUAACCGGCGAUUUCCGAAUGGGGAAACCCAGUGUGAUUCGUCACACUAUCAUUAACUGAAUCCAUAGGUUAAUGAGGCGAACCGGGGGAACUGAAACAUCUAAGUACCCCGAGGAAAAGAAAUCAACCGAGAUUCCCCCAGUAGCGGCGAGCGAACGGGGAGCAGCCCAGAGCCUGAAUCAGUGUGUGUGUUAGUGGAAGCGUCUGGAAAGGCGCGCGAUACAGGGUGACAGCCCCGUACACAAAAAUGCACAUGCUGUGAGCUCGAUGAGUAGGGCGGGACACGUGGUAUCCUGUCUGAAUAUGGGGGGACCAUCCUCCAAGGCUAAAUACUCCUGACUGACCGAUAGUGAACCAGUACCGUGAGGGAAAGGCGAAAAGAACCCCGGCGAGGGGAGUGAAAAAGAACCUGAAACCGUGUACGUACAAGCAGUGGGAGCACGCUUAGGCGUGUGACUGCGUACCUUUUGUAUAAUGGGUCAGCGACUUAUAUUCUGUAGCAAGGUUAACCGAAUAGGGGAGCCGAAGGGAAACCGAGUCUUAACUGGGCGUUAAGUUGCAGGGUAUAGACCCGAAACCCGGUGAUCUAGCCAUGGGCAGGUUGAAGGUUGGGUAACACUAACUGGAGGACCGAACCGACUAAUGUUGAAAAAUUAGCGGAUGACUUGUGGCUGGGGGUGAAAGGCCAAUCAAACCGGGAGAUAGCUGGUUCUCCCCGAAAGCUAUUUAGGUAGCGCCUCGUGAAUUCAUCUCCGGGGGUAGAGCACUGUUUCGGCAAGGGGGUCAUCCCGACUUACCAACCCGAUGCAAACUGCGAAUACCGGAGAAUGUUAUCACGGGAGACACACGGCGGGUGCUAACGUCCGUCGUGAAGAGGGAAACAACCCAGACCGCCAGCUAAGGUCCCAAAGUCAUGGUUAAGUGGGAAACGAUGUGGGAAGGCCCAGACAGCCAGGAUGUUGGCUUAGAAGCAGCCAUCAUUUAAAGAAAGCGUAAUAGCUCACUGGUCGAGUCGGCCUGCGCGGAAGAUGUAACGGGGCUAAACCAUGCACCGAAGCUGCGGCAGCGACACUAUGUGUUGUUGGGUAGGGGAGCGUUCUGUAAGCCUGUGAAGGUGUGCUGUGAGGCAUGCUGGAGGUAUCAGAAGUGCGAAUGCUGACAUAAGUAACGAUAAAGCGGGUGAAAAGCCCGCUCGCCGGAAGACCAAGGGUUCCUGUCCAACGUUAAUCGGGGCAGGGUGAGUCGACCCCUAAGGCGAGGCCGAAAGGCGUAGUCGAUGGGAAACAGGUUAAUAUUCCUGUACUUGGUGUUACUGCGAAGGGGGGACGGAGAAGGCUAUGUUGGCCGGGCGACGGUUGUCCCGGUUUAAGCGUGUAGGCUGGUUUUCCAGGCAAAUCCGGAAAAUCAAGGCUGAGGCGUGAUGACGAGGCACUACGGUGCUGAAGCAACAAAUGCCCUGCUUCCAGGAAAAGCCUCUAAGCAUCAGGUAACAUCAAAUCGUACCCCAAACCGACACAGGUGGUCAGGUAGAGAAUACCAAGGCGCUUGAGAGAACUCGGGUGAAGGAACUAGGCAAAAUGGUGCCGUAACUUCGGGAGAAGGCACGCUGAUAUGUAGGUGAAGUCCCUCGCGGAUGGAGCUGAAAUCAGUCGAAGAUACCAGCUGGCUGCAACUGUUUAUUAAAAACACAGCACUGUGCAAACACGAAAGUGGACGUAUACGGUGUGACGCCUGCCCGGUGCCGGAAGGUUAAUUGAUGGGGUUAGCGCAAGCGAAGCUCUUGAUCGAAGCCCCGGUAAACGGCGGCCGUAACUAUAACGGUCCUAAGGUAGCGAAAUUCCUUGUCGGGUAAGUUCCGACCUGCACGAAUGGCGUAAUGAUGGCCAGGCUGUCUCCACCCGAGACUCAGUGAAAUUGAACUCGCUGUGAAGAUGCAGUGUACCCGCGGCAAGACGGAAAGACCCCGUGAACCUUUACUAUAGCUUGACACUGAACAUUGAGCCUUGAUGUGUAGGAUAGGUGGGAGGCUUAGAAGUGUGGACGCCAGUCUGCAUGGAGCCGACCUUGAAAUACCACCCUUUAAUGUUUGAUGUUCUAACGUUGACCCGUAAUCCGGGUUGCGGACAGUGUCUGGUGGGUAGUUUGACUGGGGCGGUCUCCUCCUAAAGAGUAACGGAGGAGCACGAAGGUUGGCUAAUCCUGGUCGGACAUCAGGAGGUUAGUGCAAUGGCAUAAGCCAGCUUGACUGCGAGCGUGACGGCGCGAGCAGGUGCGAAAGCAGGUCAUAGUGAUCCGGUGGUUCUGAAUGGAAGGGCCAUCGCUCAACGGAUAAAAGGUACUCCGGGGAUAACAGGCUGAUACCGCCCAAGAGUUCAUAUCGACGGCGGUGUUUGGCACCUCGAUGUCGGCUCAUCACAUCCUGGGGCUGAAGUAGGUCCCAAGGGUAUGGCUGUUCGCCAUUUAAAGUGGUACGCGAGCUGGGUUUAGAACGUCGUGAGACAGUUCGGUCCCUAUCUGCCGUGGGCGCUGGAGAACUGAGGGGGGCUGCUCCUAGUACGAGAGGACCGGAGUGGACGCAUCACUGGUGUUCGGGUUGUCAUGCCAAUGGCACUGCCCGGUAGCUAAAUGCGGAAGAGAUAAGUGCUGAAAGCAUCUAAGCACGAAACUUGCCCCGAGAUGAGUUCUCCCUGACUCCUUGAGAGUCCUGAAGGAACGUUGAAGACGACGACGUUGAUAGGCCGGGUGUGUAAGCGCAGCGAUGCGUUGAGCUAACCGGUACUAAUGAACCGUGAGGCUUAACCUU
Molecule: ribosomal RNA, 2903 nt
Filed under: Escherichia coli
Lineage: Bacteria; Pseudomonadati; Pseudomonadota; Gammaproteobacteria; Enterobacterales; Enterobacteriaceae
Description: 23S ribosomal RNA
Rfam family: Bacterial large subunit ribosomal RNA
Source: RNAcentral